GGGUUGUGAGGUUAAGCGACUAAGCGUACACGGUGGAUGCCCUGGCAGUCAGAGGCGAUGAAGGACGUGCUAAUCUGCGAAAAGCGUCGGUAAGGUGAUAUGAACCGUUAUAACCGGCGAUGUCCGAAUGGGGAAACCCAGUGCAAUUCGUUGCACUAUCGUUAACUGAAUACAUAGGUUAACGAGGCGAACCGGGGGAACUGAAACAUCUAAGUACCCCGAGGAAAAGAAAUCAACCGAGAUUCCCCCAGUAGCGGCGAGCGAACGGGGAGCAGCCCAGAGUCUGAAUCAGCUUGUGUGUUAGUGGAACGGUCUGGAAAGUCCGACGGUACAGGGUGAUAGUCCCGUACACCAAAAUGCACAGGUUGUGAACUCGAAGAGUAGGGCGGGACACGUGGUAUCCUGUCUGAAUAUGGGGGGACCAUCCUCCAAGGCUAAAUACUCCUGACUGACCGAUAGUGAACCAGUACCGUGAGGGAAAGGCGAAAAGAACCCCGGCGAGGGGAGUGAAAAAGAACCUGAAACCGUGUACGUACAAGCAGUGGGAGCACCUUCGGGUGUGACUGCGUACCUUUUGUAUAAUGGGUCAGCGACUUAUAUUCUGUAGCAAGGUUAACCGUAUAGGGGAGCCGCAGGGAAACCGAGUCUUAACUGGGCGUUAAGUUGCAGGGUAUAGACCCGAAACCCGGUGAUCUAGCCAUGGGCAGGUUGAAGGUUGGGUAACACUAACUGGAGGACCGAACCGACUAAUGUUGAAAAAUUAGCGGAUGACUUGUGGCUGGGGGUGAAAGGCCAAUCAAACCGGGAGAUAGCUGGUUCUCCCCGAAAGCUAUUUAGGUAGCGCCUCGUGAACUCAUCUUCGGGGGUAGAGCACUGUUUCGGCUAGGGGGUCAUCCCGACUUACCAACCCGAUGCAAACUACGAAUACCGAAGAAUGUUAUCACGGGAGACACACGGCGGGUGCUAACGUCCGUCGUGAAGAGGGAAACAACCCAGACCGCCAGCUAAGGUCCCAAAGUCAUGGUUAAGUGGGAAACGAUGUGGGAAGGCACAGACAGCCAGGAUGUUGGCUUAGAAGCAGCCAUCAUUUAAAGAAAGCGUAAUAGCUCACUGGUCGAGUCGGCCUGCGCGGAAGAUGUAACGGGGCUAAACCAUGCACCGAAGCUGCGGCAGCGACACUAUGUGUUGUUGGGUAGGGGAGCGUUCUGUAAGCCUGCGAAGGUGACCUGUGAGGGUUGCUGGAGGUAUCAGAAGUGCGAAUGCUGACAUAAGUAACGAUAAAGCGGGUGAAAAGCCCGCUCGCCGGAAGACCAAGGGUUCCUGUCCAACGUUAAUCGGGGCAGGGUGAGUCGACCCCUAAGGCGAGGCCGAAAGGCGUAGUCGAUGGGAAACAGGUUAAUAUUCCUGUACUUGGUGUUACUGCGAAGGGGGGACGGAGAAGGCUAUGUUAGCCGGGCGACGGUUGUCCCGGUUUAAGCAUGUAGGCUGGUUGUCCAGGCAAAUCCGGAUAAUCAAGGCUGAGGUGUGAUGACGAGGCACUACGGUGCUGAAGUAACAAAUGCCCUGCUUCCAGGAAAAGCCUCUAAGCAUCAGGUAACAUUAAAUCGUACCCCAAACCGACACAGGUGGUCAGGUAGAGAAUACCAAGGCGCUUGAGAGAACUCGGGUGAAGGAACUAGGCAAAAUGGUGCCGUAACUUCGGGAGAAGGCACGCUGGUGUGUAGGUGAAGUCCCUGCGGAUGGAGCUGAGACCAGUCGAAGAUACCAGCUGGCUGCAACUGUUUAUUAAAAACACAGCACUGUGCAAACACGAAAGUGGACGUAUACGGUGUGACGCCUGCCCGGUGCCGGAAGGUUAAUUGAUGGGGUUAUCCGUAAGGAGAAGCUCUUGAUCGAAGCCCCGGUAAACGGCGGCCGUAACUAUAACGGUCCUAAGGUAGCGAAAUUCCUUGUCGGGUAAGUUCCGACCUGCACGAAUGGCGUAAUGAUGGCCAGGCUGUCUCCACCCGAGACUCAGUGAAAUUGAACUCGCUGUGAAGAUGCAGUGUACCCGCGGCAAGACGGAAAGACCCCGUGAACCUUUACUAUAGCUUGACACUGAACAUUGAGCCUUGAUGUGUAGGAUAGGUGGGAGGCUUUGAAGCGUGGACGCCAGUCUGCGUGGAGCCAACCUUGAAAUACCACCCUUUAAUGUUUGAUGUUCUAACGUUGGCCCCUUAUCGGGGUUGCGGACAGUGUCUGGUGGGUAGUUUGACUGGGGCGGUCUCCUCCCAAAGCGUAACGGAGGAGCACGAAGGUUAGCUAAUCCUGGUCGGACAUCAGGAGGUUAGUGCAAUGGCAUAAGCUAGCUUGACUGCGAGCGUGACGGCGCGAGCAGGUGCGAAAGCAGGUCAUAGUGAUCCGGUGGUUCUGAAUGGAAGGGCCAUCGCUCAACGGAUAAAAGGUACUCCGGGGAUAACAGGCUGAUACCGCCCAAGAGUUCAUAUCGACGGCGGUGUUUGGCACCUCGAUGUCGGCUCAUCACAUCCUGGGGCUGAAGUAGGUCCCAAGGGUAUGGCUGUUCGCCAUUUAAAGUGGUACGCGAGCUGGGUUUAGAACGUCGUGAGACAGUUCGGUCCCUAUCUGCCGUGGGCGCUGGAGAAUUGAGGGGGGCUGCUCCUAGUACGAGAGGACCGGAGUGGACGCAUCACUGGUGUUCGGGUUGUCAUGCCAAUGGCACUGCCCGGUAGCUAAAUGCGGAAGAGAUAAGUGCUGAAAGCAUCUAAGCACGAAACUUGCCCCGAGAUGAGUUCUCCCUGAGACUUUAAGUCUCCUGAAGGAACGUUAAAGACGAUGACGUUGAUAGGCCGGGUGUGUAAGCGCAGCGAUGCGUUGAGCUAACCGGUACUAAUGAACCGUGAGGCUUAACCUUACAACGCCGAAG
RNAcentral lists this ribosomal RNA (2923 nucleotides) under Klebsiella pneumoniae. RNAcentral describes it as "partial 23S ribosomal RNA". It matches the Rfam family "Bacterial large subunit ribosomal RNA". Lineage: Bacteria; Pseudomonadati; Pseudomonadota; Gammaproteobacteria; Enterobacterales; Enterobacteriaceae. The record is from RNAcentral.